GCCCUUGACUCUGGGAUAAGCCUGGGAAACUGGGUCUAAUACUGGAUACUACCUCUUACCGCAUGGNGGGUGGUGGAAAGGGUUUUACUGGUUUUGGAUGGGCUCACGGCCUAUCAGCUUGUUGGNGGGGUAAUGGCUCACCAAGGCGACGACGGGUAGCCGGCCUGAGAGGGUGACCGGCCACACUGGGACUGANACACGGCCCAGACUCCUACGGGAGGCAGCAGUGGGGAAUAUUGCACAAUGGGCGGAAGCCUGAUGCAGCGACGCCGCGUGAGGGAUGACGGCCUUCGGGUUGUAAACCUCUUUCAGUAGGGAAGAAGCGAGAGUGACGGUACCUGCAGAANAAGCGCCGGCUAACUACGUGCCAGCAGCCGCGGUAAUACGUAGGGCGCAAGCGUUGUCCGGAAUUAUUGGGCGUAAAGAGCUCGUAGGCGGUUUGUCGCG
This 447-nucleotide ribosomal RNA is filed under the name uncultured bacterium. Its description in RNAcentral is "bacterial SSU rRNA". It matches the Rfam family "Bacterial small subunit ribosomal RNA", at positions 128 to 587 of the family's 1533-position model. The record is from RNAcentral.